Molecule: small RNA, 30 nt
Filed under: Arabidopsis thaliana (thale cress)
Lineage: Eukaryota; Viridiplantae; Streptophyta; Magnoliopsida; Brassicales; Brassicaceae
Description: ATSL024300
Source: RNAcentral
AUGGAAAAUAGCAGAAACUGAGGACUGAGA